This is a long non-coding RNA of Pan troglodytes (chimpanzee), 1597 nucleotides long. RefSeq lists it as uncharacterized. The transcript has 2 exons. NCBI's taxonomy places the organism in Eukaryota, Metazoa, Chordata, Mammalia, Primates, Hominidae. The record is from RefSeq and is a predicted model, not a curated record.
AGUUGGAGCCCAGGAGUUUGACAUGAGCCAGGCAACGUAGUAAGUCCCCAUUCGUACAAAAAUGUUUUUGGAGAAAAGUAGUUGAGUGUGGGGGCACAUGCCUGUAGUCCCAGGUACGUGGGAGGCUGAGGCAAGAAAAUUGCUUCAGCCUGGGAGAUUGAGGCUGCAGUGAGCUCUGAUCACCACAAUGCACACCAGCCUGUGAGUCCGGAGACCCGAGCUGGCGCCUUGAAGCGGGGUCCCCCUGCACCGGUAGAAGUCGGCUCAAGGAGGUUCUGAGAACAGGACUCCCGGGGGUCUGGCCCUGGAGGACCCGAAGCCCCCACUCCCAUAACGCCCCUUACUACAUCCCCACUCCAGCCGCCACUGCAACUGCCACAGAAUCCCCGCCACGUGUUGCCGAACCUGUUUAAAGCGGCCACAGCCGGAGUUUGAAGAGCAAAGCAGGAGUCGGCCUGGGCAAUGCGCAUGCGGGAGGCACGAGCCCAUUCUCCCGUGACGGUGACACCAACGGUUGGCUGAGGACGAUUCCCUGAGCCUUGACAAAGCAGGAGCCCUCCGUGGCGGUGCGUCGGUGUCGAGGCUCCAAUCUGACUAAUCCAGGGGGUCGACAAAACAGAUUCGGGACACUAUGCUACACGGAGGGCCUACCAGGAUGCAGAAACAGCAGACGGAGUCCAGGGAAAGCAGUGCGGCAUCCCAGCCUCAGGCCUGCCCGUACGGUGUUCGGGAGGGGAGGAGACCAAUGUGAAAGGAGAUGGUUCUAUCUCCUCGCGGCUCUUCUCUGAGGAAUGAAGCCACGAUACGAAACAGUCUUCAAGAAGAAGCUGAAAACCGGAUAUGACACGGAUGUCCCCAGAACACAGCAGGCAUCCUGAAGCUCCGCCUCCUGAAGCUCCCCCUCCCUCGGUGGAAGUCGGCUCAGGGAGGUCCUGAGGACAGGACUCCUGGGGGUUUGGCUGCAGAAUGAAUUCAUUAGGACUUUAUAUAAUUUUUCAAAUCAUGAAAUUGCGCAAUCUUUUGAAUAUGGAAUUGGGAGGCCUUUCAGUUCAUUCAGUAGAAAACUGGAACAUUUUUGAAAGGUGAUCUGCUUGACACCUUUCAAAGAGCACAAAACCUUGUGAAGUAGCAGAUGCAAUGAUUACCAAUGUACUUUAUAAAAUGACUUUCAGAGUUUGAGAUUAAAUUGGCUUUUCUGAAAUAUGUAAGUCUCUGGAAAAACUCAACAUUUCUAAUCUUGCUUUGGAAAGCCUUUAAGUAUGUAAAAAUCAAUUUCUUAGAUCUUCUCUGAAAUAAACAUGGAAUAUCCUAAGGUUUUGUUCAUGUUUCAUGAAUUUCACAGCAUUCAUCAUAUUUUAAAGUUAUUUUUGAUGCUUUGCAUUGUAUUAAAAUCUCUCUUGGAAUGAGAGGCCUGAAAAACAAUCAUAAUAUACUGUUGUUGUCUAACAAUAUAUCAAGUUUUUAAUGACUCUUACAAUGCAAUAUUUUUAUCAUUCUUGUAGUUUAUCCACGUGUAUUUAAUAUUACUAGCAGAAAUUUAGAUUUUAGUAAAUUAAUUCUGAUCUUUGUAAAAUAAAAUACUUUAGUUUUCAAUCUA